CCUACGGGUGGCAGCAGUGAGGAAUAUUGGUCAAUGGCCGCGAGGCUGAACCAGCCAAGUAGCGUGAAGGAUGACUGUCCUAAGGGUUGUAAACUUCUUUUAUCAAGGAAUAAAAUCAGGCACGCGUGCCUUCUUGUAUGUACUUUAUGAAUAAGGAUCGGCUAACUCCGUGCCAGCAGCCGCGGUAAUACGGAGGAUCCGAGCGUUAUCCGGAUUUAUUGGGUUAAAGGGAGGGUAGGUGGGUUGGUAAGUCAGUUGUGAAAAUUUGCGGGUCAAACGUAAAAGUGCAGUUGAAACUGGCAGUCUUGAGUACAGUAGAGGUAGGCGGAAUGCGUGGUGUAGCGGUGAAAUGCUUAGAUAUCACGAAGAACUCCGAUUGCGAAGGCAGCUUACUGGACUGCAACUGACAUUGAUGCUCGAAAGUGUGGGUAUCAAACAGGAUUAGAUACCCGAGUAGUC
This 459-nucleotide ribosomal RNA is filed under the name uncultured bacterium. Its description in RNAcentral is "partial 16S ribosomal RNA". It matches the Rfam family "Bacterial small subunit ribosomal RNA", at positions 338 to 795 of the family's 1533-position model. The record is from RNAcentral.